Molecule: long non-coding RNA, 1065 nt
Filed under: Oreochromis niloticus (Nile tilapia)
Lineage: Eukaryota; Metazoa; Chordata; Actinopteri; Cichliformes; Cichlidae
Description: lncRNA (ENSONIG00000036423.1)
Source: RNAcentral
AUGUCAGAAAUGAGCAACCAAAAAGCAAAACCAGAAUUUGUGUGCACUCUGCCAAAAAGUGCACUGGACAACCUUAUUCAGGUUAGGAAAACCUUCCAAAACACUCUCUCUGAAAAUCAACUUUUAAGAGAGGAUACAAAGACAGCCAGACAGCAAAUCAAACAGCUGAUGGCCAAAAUUUCACUGAUGCAUGCCAAGCUGGACCAGUAUGAGAUCCAAGCUGGAGAACUCACUGAUGAAUCAGUGUCAUGCAAAGUGGAAAUGAGCAGCGCCAGCAACGAAAAAGGGGAUCAGACUUGUUGUGUUUUCAUCUCAGGUCAGGAAAAGAUCAUCACCUUUGACCUUGAGAUGAACCAUCUGAAACAGCAGCUUCAGCAGAGGGACAGCGAAAUCCUGAUCCUCAAACAGGAGAAGAAAAGUCUGUCUGCUGAGCUCGCACAGCUUCAGACACGCGAGAAACCAAAAUUUGUGUGCACUCUGCCAAAGAGUACACUGGACGACCUUAUUAAGGUUAGAAAAGCCUUCCUAAAAGCUCUGUCUGAAAAUAGACCUUUAAAAGAGGAUUCAAAGACAGCCAGAGAGCAAAUCAAACAGCUGAUGGCCCAAAUUUCAAUGAUGCGUACUAAGCUGGAACAAUAUAAGAUCCAAGCUGGAGAAGCAAAAGAGGAAGAGACUUGUUCAGAUCAGGAAAAGAUCAUCACCUUUGACCUUGAGAUGAAACGUCUGAAACAGCAGCUUCAGCAGAGGGACAGCAAAAUCCUGAUCCUCAAACAGGAGAAGGAAAGUCUGUCUGCUGAGCUCGCACAGCUUCAGAAACAUGAGGCCUCUCUGAAAGAAACUCUGUGGAAUGAGAAAACACACAGAGAGAAUCUGGAGCAGGAGAAGAAAGUCCUGGAGGAAGAAAAUAAGAAAGUCCUGGAGGAGCAGAAAGUGGUGAAGGACACAAAAGAAAUGCAGAAAAAACAUGGACGAGCAGACAAAAGAAUUAGAGGAGGCAAAGACAGCGACAGUAGAAAUGGUAACCCCAGAGAGAUACAUCCUCCAGAUGUAUCUGAGCACAGAUGA